CUGCCGAGCAGUCAAAAGUACGUCUGUUUGUCUCGAGGAAUAAAAAUAUUCGUCAGUGAUGUGCUUUACCAGUUUUUAAUAUACAUUAUGAUAGAUUAUUGAACGUCGUGUGAACAUCGACUAAAAUGAUGAAAGAAGUUACUUGAGGUACGUUUGAAGAGGUACGCACACACCAUACAGCUACAGAAACGUUUACAAUUGUGCGAAUGGGCCAUACGAAAACUACAAGACGAUGAAGUGUUCUUGAGUAAAAUAUUGUCAACGGAUGAGGUCACAUUUAGUAAAAACUAUGGAGCAUUUAAGCGUUGCAACAUUUACUACUGGUCAUAGUAAAAUAAUUGCUCCAUAUUUCAUUGAUGGCACGCUAAAUAGUUGUAAGUUAAAAAAAAAAGAAUAAAAGAAUCUUGGAAGAUGAUUUGUCAGAAUUAUUAGAGGACAUUUCACUGGAAAUACAAUUCGCGUGGCUCCAACCAAUCAACCAACCAAGUCACACAACUUAUUGAAAUUAUUGAACUUAUUGAAGCAGAUGAUACAGCAUACAACUUGUCGAACUUGUCGAACUUAUCGAGCUUGUCGAACUUGUCGAACUUGUUGAACUUGUCGAACUUGUCGAACUUGUCGAACUUAUGGUACUUGUCGAACUUAUGGAACUUAUGGAACUUAUGGACCUUGUCGAACUUGUCGAACUUAUGGACCUUGUCGAACUUGUCGAACUUGUCGAACCGAUGAAACUUGUCGAACCGAUGAAACUUGUCGAACGGAUGGAACUUGUCGAACCGAUGGAACUUGUCGAACCGAUGGAACUUGUCGAACCGAUGGAACUUGUCGAACCGAUGGAACUUGUCGAACCGAUGGAACUUGUCGGACUGAUGGAAUUUGUCGGACUGAUGGAAUUUGUCGAACUGAUGGAAUUUGUCGAACUGAUGGAAUUUGUCGAACUGAUGGAAUUUGUCGAACUGAUGGAAUUUGUCGAACUGAUGGAACUUGUCGAACUGAUGGAACUUGUCGAACUGAUGGAACUUGUUGGACUUAUGGAACUUGUUGGACUUCUGGAACUUGUUAGACUUAUGGAACCUGUUGGACUUAUGGAACUUGUUGGACUUAUGGAACUUGUUGGACUUAUGGAACUUGUUAGACUUAUGGAACUUGUUAGACUUAUGGAACUUGUUAGACUUAUGGAACUUGUUAGACUUAUGGAACUUGUUGGACUUGUUGCACUUGUUGGACUUGUUGCACUUGUUGGACUUGUUGCACUUUUUGGACUUGUUGGACUUGUUGGACUUGUUGAACUUUUUGCACUUAUUGAACUUGUUGGACUUGUUGGACUUGUUGCACUUGUUGGACUUGUUGGACUUACUGGACUUGUUGAACUUACUGGACUUGUUGAACUUACUGGACUUGUUGAACUUAUUGAAGCAGGUAUCCCACAAAGCUACGUUGUCGGGCCAGUAUUAUACAUGCUAUACACCGAAGAUAUUGUGGCCACAAUAUUUACAUCUGCAGAUGAUACAGCACACAACUUAUUGAACUUAUUGAAGGAGGUAUAGCACAAAGCAGCGUUGUCGGGUCAGUAUUAUACAUGCUAUACACUGAAGAUACUGAGGCCACAAUAUUUCCAUCUGCAGAUGAUACAGCAUACAACUUAUUGAACUUAUUGAAGCAGGCAUAGCACAAAGCAGCGUUGUCGGGCCAGUAUUAUACAUGCUAUACACUGAAGAUACUGCGGCCACAAUAUUUCCGUCUGCAGAUGAUACAGUAUACAACUUAUUGAACUUAUUGAAGCAAGUAUCCCACAAAGCAGCGUUGUCGGGUCAGUAUUAUACAUGCUAUACACUGAAGAUACUCAGGCCACAAUAUUUCCAUCUGCAGAUGAUACAGCAUACAACUUAUUGAACUUAUUGAAACAGGUAUAGCACAAAGCAGCGUUGUCAGGCCAGUAUUAUACAUGCUAUACACUGAAGAUAUUGUGACCACAAUAUUUACAUCUACACAUGAUACAGCAUACAACUUAUUGAACUUAUUGAAGCAGGUAUAGCACAAAGCAGCGUUGUCAGGCCAGUAUUAUACAUGCUAUACACUGAAGAUACUGAGGUCACAAUAUUUACAUCUGCAGAUGAUACAGCAUACAACUUAUUGAACUUAUUGAAGCAGGUAUAGCACAAAGCAUCGUUGUCGGGCCAGUAUUAUACAUGCUAUACACUGAAGAUACUGAGGUCACAAUAUUUACAUCUGCAGAUGAUACAGCAUACAACUUAUGGAACUUAUUGAAGCAGGUAUAGCACAAAGCAGCGUUGUCGGGCCAGUAUUAUACAUGCUAUACACUGAAGAUACUGAGGCCACAAUAUUUCCAUCUGCAGAUGAUACACCAUACAACUUGUUGAACUUAUUGAAGCAGGCAUAGCACAAAGCAGCGUUGUCGGGCCAGUAUUAUACAUGCUAUACACUGAAGAUACUGAGGCCACAAUAUUUCCAUCUGCAGAUGAUACAGCAUACAACUUAUUGAACUUAUUGAAGCAGGCAUAGCACAAAGCAGCGUUGUCGGGCCAGUAUUAUACAUGCUAUACACUGAAGAUACUGCGGCCACAAUAUUUCCGUCUGCAGAUGAUACAGUAUACAACUUAUUGAACUUAUUGAAGCAAGUAUCCCACAAAGCAGCGUUGUCGGGUCAGUAUUAUACAUGCUAUACACUGAAGAUACUCAGGCCACAAUAUUUCCAUCUGCAGAUGAUACAGCAUACAACUUAUUGAACUUAUUGAAACAGGUAUAGCACAAAGCAGCGUUGUCAGGCCAGUAUUAUACAUGCUAUACACUGAAGAUAUUGUGACCACAAUAUUUACAUCUACACAUGAUACAGCAUACAACUUAUUGAACUUAUUGAAGCAGGUAUAGCACAAAGCAGCGUUGUCAGGCCAGUAUUAUACAUGCUAUACACUGAAGAUACUGAGGUCACAAUAUUUACAUCUGCAGAUGAUACAGCAUACAACUUAUUGAACUUAUUGAAGCAGGUAUAGCACAAAGCAUCGUUGUCGGGCCAGUAUUAUACAUGCUAUACACUGAAGAUAUUGUGGCCACAAUAUUUACAUCUGCAGAUGAUACAGCAUACAACUUAUUGAACUUAUUAAAGCAGGUAUAGCACAAAGCAGUGUUGUCGGGUCAGUAUUAUACAUGCUAUACACUGAAGAUACUGAGGCCACAAUAUUUCCAUCUGCAGAUGAUACAGCAUACAACUUAUUGAACUUAUUGAAGCAGGUAUAGCGCAAAGCAGCGUUGUCGGGCCAGUAUUAUACAUGCUAUACACUGAAGAUAUUGUGGCCACAAUAUUUACAUCUGCAGAUGAUACAGCAUACAACUUAUUGUACUUAUUGAAGCAGGUAUAGCACAAAGCAGCGUUAUCGGGCCAGUAUUAUACAUGCUAUACACUGAAGAUAUUGUGGCCAGAAUAUUUACAUCUGCAGAUGAUACAGCAUACAACUUAUGGAACUUAUUGAAGCAGGUAUAGCACAAAGCAGCGUUGUGGGGCCAGUACUAUAUGAGCUAUACACUACCAUUAGAUAUUACUACUAUUAUUGUGGGUCCAAUAUUUACAUCUGUAGAUGAUACAGCAUACAACGUAUUGAACUUAUUGAACAUGUUGAAUUGUUAUUAGUUAUUGUUAUUAUUAUAAUUUGCUCUUAUUUGUUAUUGUUGCUGCUCUGAACAAUGUUAGUAUACAUAAAAGUAAUACCUACUAGCGGAAACUCUGAGCUAAACAUAAGCAAUAAGCGUGUUAUUUAUAAAACGUUUUGAAUCAAUGGGAUUGGCAUCAUUGGCACAUGCGGAGCGAGCAAAUAGGAAGCGAUCUUAUUAUCAAAGUACUAGAAGAGGAAAUCAAAUAUCAAUGCGUGAUAGGGCCUGAAAGCUAUCCUAGCGAUGUAGCAAUCUAUAUUCAGAAAACCUUGCUAGAGGACUACGCUGGACGCAUCCAAACGACGUCAUCUUCUCGGCAUAAAGAGUGUGUGCAUUAGAUAUGUAUUCUACUAAGGGAGCAUCUACGUGAUAAAUAUUUCAAACAUUGUCAAAUCAAUUUACCAAAUGUCCUUCCUGAACAAAUUCUAGUGCAUUGGAGUUAUUAAAAAAAAAAAAAGAAAAAAAUGUAUUCAUGUAUAGUCGUCAUUUCGAAGAUUUAUACCAACAUUGAUCUUGGCUAACUUUUUGCGUUGACGGCUCCAGCUAUA
Bombus terrestris (buff-tailed bumblebee) is the source of this 4214-nucleotide long non-coding RNA. RefSeq lists it as uncharacterized. Lineage: Eukaryota; Metazoa; Arthropoda; Insecta; Hymenoptera; Apidae. The transcript has 4 exons. The record is from RefSeq and is a predicted model, not a curated record.